Molecule: long non-coding RNA, 808 nt
Filed under: Sarcophilus harrisii (Tasmanian devil)
Lineage: Eukaryota; Metazoa; Chordata; Mammalia; Dasyuromorphia; Dasyuridae
Description: lncRNA (ENSSHAG00000028231.1)
Source: RNAcentral
CCUUGGUCACCAUAAGGUGGCUGUUCAACUGAAGGUAGAGCACAUCAGAGACCCCAAAACUCAUUGCUUUUUAAAAUUCAGGAAAUGUAGGGUUGAUAGUGGGACUGUCCCUGUUGGAGGAAGAUAUUUCUUGGGGGUGAGAAGGCUGGAACACUUCCUGAGAGGGCCUGGCUAGUAGGAAUGGGACUGUUCAACUGACCAUGGACCAUAUCUGAGACCCCAAAAGUCUUUGUCUUUUCAGGUUCUUGAAGGACUUAGAUUUAGAGUUGGGCAGUUCCUGUUACAGGGGAAAGAUUUUGGGGGGAGAGAGGGCUUGAAGACUUCCUGGGAGGGCCUGGUGGCAGGAAAGGGGCUGGUCAACUGACAGUGGAGGACAUUGAAGACCCCUGAACUCACUGUCUUCCAAGCUUCAAGAAAUGUAGGGCUAAGAGAGUUGCUGUUCCUGUUGGGGGGAAGAAGAGUUAAAGCCUUCCUGGAAGGGCCUGGGUACAGGGAAGGGCAACAAGGUGGAGCACAUCGGAGACCCCUAAACUCAUUGUCUUCCAAGCUUCAGGAAAGGUUCUUGAAGGACUUAGAUUUAGAGUGGGGCUGUUCCUGUUGGGGGGGAGAGAUUUUGGGGGAGAAAAGGCUUGAAGACUUCCUGGGAGGACCUGGUAGCAGGAAAGGGGCUGGUCAACUGACGGCGGAGGACAUCGAAGACCCCUAAAAUCAUUGUCUUCCAAGAUUCAAGAAAUACAGGGUUAAGAGUGUUGCUGUUCCUGUUGGGAGGAGAGAAUUGGGGGCUCAAUUUUCAGAUGAGGAAACUGAG